RNAcentral lists this ribosomal RNA (327 nucleotides) under uncultured eukaryote. RNAcentral's name for it is "partial 18S ribosomal RNA". It matches the Rfam family "Eukaryotic small subunit ribosomal RNA", at positions 1470 to 1796 of the family's 1831-position model. The record is from RNAcentral.
CUCUUAGAUGUUCUGGGCCGCACGCGCGCUACACUGACGAAUGCAACGAGCUUAUAACCUUGGCCGAAAGGUCUGGGUAAUCUCCAAAUUUCGUCGUGAUGGGGAUAGAUUAUUGCAAUUAUUAAUCUUCAACGAGGAAUGCCUAGUAAGCGCAAGUCAUCAGCUUGCGUUGAUUACGUCCCUGCCCUUUGUACACACCGCCCGUCGCUCCUACCGAUUGAAUGGUCCGGUGAAGCGUUCGGACCGUGGCCUUUGGACGGUUCGCCGUCUGUUGGCUGCGGGAAGUUCGUUAAACCUUAUCAUUUAGAGGAAGGAGAANUCGUAACA